GAUGAACGCUGGCGGCGUGCCUAAUACAUGCAAGUCGAGCGAACAGACGAGGAGCUUGCUCCUCUGACGUUAGCGGCGGACGGGUGAGUAACACGUGGAUAACCUACCUAUAAGACUGGGAUAACUUCGGGAAACCGGAGCUAAUACCGGAUAAUAUAUUGAACCGCAUGGUUCAAUAGUGAAAGACGGUUUUGCUGUCACUUAUAGAUGGAUCCGCGCCGCAUUAGCUAGUUGGUAAGGUAACGGCUUACCAAGGCAACGAUGCGUAGCCGACCUGAGAGGGUGAUCGGCCACACUGGAGCUGAGACACGGUCCAGACUCCUACGGGAGGCAGCAGUAGGGAAUCUUCCGCAAUGGGCGAAAGCCUGACGGAGCAACGCCGCGUGAGUGAUGAAGGUCUUCGGAUCGUAAAACGCUGUUAUUAGGGAAGAACAAAUGUGUAAGUAACUAUGCACGUCUUGACGGUACCUAAUCAGAAAGCCACGGCUAACUACGU
Molecule: ribosomal RNA, 496 nt
Filed under: uncultured bacterium
Lineage: Bacteria
Description: partial 16S ribosomal RNA
Rfam family: Bacterial small subunit ribosomal RNA
Source: RNAcentral